Acinonyx jubatus (cheetah) is the source of this 3298-nucleotide long non-coding RNA. RefSeq lists it as uncharacterized. The transcript has 5 exons. NCBI's taxonomy places the organism in Eukaryota, Metazoa, Chordata, Mammalia, Carnivora, Felidae. The record is from RefSeq and is a predicted model, not a curated record.
GCGCCCAGGAAGAGACAAACGACAUGCUCUCUGGCAAUCAGUAAAGACUGUUCAUUCUGCACUGGUGCCGGCCCAGCAGAAUCACCUCCAAAAGCUGAGCCCCCAGCCCUGGCGCUGGCCUACUUUAUGCCUGGCCAGCUUCUGGGAACUUGGAAACUUUCCAUCGGCUGCACAGGAGCACUGCCCAUACCUGGAAUGAAACUGCCUCCCAGAGGACUUUACACCACCACAGCCAGACCCCAUUGCCACACAGACUCUGGGAUACAAAGACCACUCCCUCACUCCUACUGCCUCCUGCUGGAACCCUAGGUCUCCUCAUGAGAGUAUUUCUUUAUCACUUCCAAAAGGGUGACCCAUCUAAGGCUCUGAUUUGUGAAAUCCUGACCUACAAUGGCGCCAAAAUGAUUCUUGAAAGCCGACUGUAAGAAUGGAGUGGUGAAGGUGACUCACUUGUUAGCAAGAUGGCAAUAAAUAUCCCAGUAAGAUCUGGAGGCCAGAAGUCUGAAAUAGAGGCGUUGGUAAAAUUAUGCUCUCUCCAAGGACUCUCGAGGAGGAUCCUUCCUUGCCCCUUCCAGGAAAACAGCAUGUGCAGUGAUUGUGCAACGUAAACAAAAUGCUGUCGUGGGCCCAGGACGCAGUGCAUCAACUGUCACACUGAUCGGUCAGAUGGUUUCAGAUGUUUAAGAGUCAAAAAAUAAGAAGGGGACAGCAACAGCCCUAAACUUGGAAUAUGGCAACUAUGCACAUUUUAUGUUGGUGUGGAAACGUGACUGGAUUGGUAUUAUCUGUGAUGACAUAGUUGCUGAAGGGUUUUCGGCCUUCUCCGUGUUCUGAAAAGAAAUAAUUCAGAUGAAAGGAAAAAAGAAGUGAUGCCAAGUUAUAAAAAUGGUAAGCUGAGUUGGGUAUUUCAUGUUUACCCUCUGACGUGUUCAUCCUUCUCUGCUCUACUAUGUGCCCAGGAAAGUUGCAACCUAUAGAUUUUGCCAUCUAUGUUCUCUAGCUUACUGUUAACCUUUAAGAGAUACUAACCUUGGGGCGCCUGGGUGGCUCAGUUAGUUAAGCAUCUGACUUUGGCUCAGGUCAUGAUCUCACUGUUAGUGAGUUAGAGCCCUGCAUCAGGUUCUGUGCUGACAGCUCAGAGCCUGGAGCCUGCUUGGGAUUCUGUGUCUCCCUCUCUCUCUGCCCCUCCCCUGCUCGUGUUGUGUCUCUGCCUCUCAAAAAUAAAUAAACAUUGAAAUAAAAAAAAGAGAUACUAACUUUGACACUUCUCAUGACUUCUCCUACAUUUGGUACCUGAGUUCUCAACGUAAUAUAUAUUAAUUUCCUCAUUAAAGAGUUAGAACUAAAGAGACAUCUUUGGCAGUGUUUUAGUAAGGGCCUGUUAGAAAACAGAAAACAAAGUCUUUAGAAUUUUGAGACAGGUCCUUCAAUAUGUGUUUUGUUCCAUUUAAAUACAUGUUUUUAAGAAUGAAGCAACAAAGGAGAAGGAAAAAUGAAAGAUUUAAGGAAGACAUGUUAGAUAGGUCCAGGGGAAUCAUGUGCUAUGGUUAUAACCAAGAUACAUUCCCAGCUCACUUAAAAAAGGAAGCAUCGAUAAAAGGGACUAUUAAUAGAAGUGUUGGCAGUGUUUGGUAAAAUAUGUCUUAUUAAGGUGAAAGACAUAUUUUAGUGUAAUGAUUCUUGAGAUCUUGAUGGUCACUAGGAAAAAUGAAAACAGAUAAUGGGAACCUUAAAUUUCGGUUAAGAAGAUUGACCUCAAUGUUACAGAUAAUGAAUAUUUAAUUUAAGUUGUUGAACAGGGAAAUGAAAAGGUAUUCUGAGGGCUAUUCAUCUGGUGACAUUUUGUAGGCAGAAUGAAUAGAAAGGGUAACCGGGUAGAUAAGCUAGCAGACUGUGGAAUUUGGCAGCAUAUAGUACAGCACAGUGGAAAGGACUCUGAACUAGAACCUGAUAAAUGAAGAUAAGAGGGUCUGUGUGGAACACUUCAUAAGAUGGUUGCAACCAUUAAAUAGAAUACUGUGUGAAAAUGCUUUGACAAUUGUAAAAUGUUGCGCAGUAUGUUACUGUUUACCCUCUAUUAAGUUUGAUAUCUGGUGGCACUGGAGUAGCAUGGUGGCAAUAAAAGUAGAUAAGAAGGUAUGGAUUGGAAUGUUUCCAAGUAGGAAUAAUUGAUAAAACAUAGUGACAUUGAAUAUGGAGAUAACAAAGAAGAAGUGAAUGCUGUUACCAUGUUUGGAUCAAUGCCUGAGGCAAUAACGUGCUAAAAGAAAUGUAAAUGGAGGAAAGAGGCUGACUUUGCUGAAAAUGUUCCUUUCAGUUUAGAAAUACAGCACUCAAUGUAGACAUGCAAAAUUUUAACUAAAGGAAUAGGUUUAGCCCAGUUAUAUCUAGAGAACGUAGAGGCAUUUUGAUUAAUACUUAUUGAGAAUCUAUGAUAUACAAGAUAUUGUGGUACAUGAUUGUAUGAGUUAUCUCUUGCCAUAAUUCUCUAAAACCAACCACCUCAAAAUUCAGGGGUUUAGAACAGUCAUUCAUUUAGCUCCUAAAUCUGUAGAUUGUCUGAGUAGCUCUUUUAAUAUGGGUGGGGCUCACUCAUAUAUUUGCAAUUGGCUACAGAGCAACCUCUGUUGACCUUGACUGGACUCUCAUAUUUCUAGCAAUUAAAUGGUUGUUGCCUAGUCUAAGGUGGCCGUAGCCAGGACAACUGGGGAGACACAUCUUUGCUCCAUGUGAUUCACCCUUCAGCAGCCUAGUCUGGGCAUGUCCUUAUGGCAAAGCUGCAUGGACAAAAUCAAUCAAGUAGAAAGUCAUGCAGCCUCUUGAGACCUAGGCUUAGAACUGGCACAGUGAGUCCUAUAUUUUAUUGGCCAAAGUAUAUUAAAGAUCAGUCCAAAGUCAAAGGGAGGGAAAUAAACCCUGUCUCAUCAAUAAGAAGCAUUAAAUCACAUGAAAAUGGUGUAAAUAGAGGGGAGACUGAAGAAAUUAGACCGUUAAUGAAAUAAAUCUGCCACAGUGAUGUUAUUUAUUAAUUAAUUAAUUAAUUUACAGAAAAUAUUCUUUGAGUGUCUACUCUAGGUACUAGGAUAAAGCAAUAAACAGAAGAGAAAAGAUCUUUGCUUAAUAGAGUUUAUAUGUUAGUAAUUAAACUCAGUAAAAAAAUAAACAACAAAAUGUCAGUAAUAAAUGCUGUAAGAUAUACAACAGAUUAGUAUGACAGAAAGUGAGUGAGUGGUAUGUUAGAUCAGAUGGUUUUCUGAGGCGCUGGUAUUUGAACGAAUGCAAGAAUUAAAAGAAGAAG